AGUGAACGCUGGCGGCAGGCCUAACACAUGCAAGUCGAACGGCAGCGCAGUAUUCGCUUGCGCUUCCGGGUGGCGAGUGGCGGAUGGUUCAGGAGUACAUCGGCAUCUACUUUUGCGUGGGGGACAACGUAGGGAAACUUACGCCAAUACCGCAUACGGCCUACGGGUGAAAGCAGCGGAUCUUCCGCCCUUGCGCGCGCCAAUGACCCGAUGUCGGAUUAGCUAGUUGGCGGGGUAAAGGCCUACCAAGGCGACGAUCUGUAGCUGGUCUGAGAGGACGACCAGCCACACUGGGACUGAGACACGGCCCAGACUCCUACGGGAGGCAGCAGUGGGGAAUUUUGGACAAUGGGCGAAAGCCUGAUCCAGCAAUGCCGCGUGUGUGAUGAAGGCCUUCGGGUUGUAAAGCACUUUUGGCGGGAACGAAAAGGACUGUGCCAAUACCACGGUUCGAUGACGGUACCCGCAGAAUAAGCACCGGCUAACUUCGUG
Molecule: ribosomal RNA, 492 nt
Filed under: uncultured bacterium
Lineage: Bacteria
Description: partial 16S ribosomal RNA
Rfam family: Bacterial small subunit ribosomal RNA
Source: RNAcentral